GGGAUACCUCAGUGGUAGAACAUCUGCUUUGGAUGCAGAAGGUCCCAGGUUCAGUCCCCAGUGGCAUCU
Non-coding RNA from Podarcis lilfordi (Lilford's wall lizard), 69 nucleotides. The record is from the annotation of a GenBank genome assembly. Lineage: Eukaryota; Metazoa; Chordata; Lepidosauria; Squamata; Lacertidae.